AUACUUACCUGGCAGGGGAGAUACCAUGAUCACGAAGGUGGUUUUCCCAGGGCGAGGCUCACCCAUUGCACUCCGGAUGUGCUGACCCCUGCGAUUUCCCCAAAUGCGGGAAACUCGACUGCAUAAUUUGUGGUAGUGGGGGACUGCGUUCGCGCUCUCCCCUG
Small nuclear RNA from Oryctolagus cuniculus (rabbit), 164 nucleotides. Its record names the gene U1. It matches the Rfam family "U1 spliceosomal RNA". From Rfam's summary of the family: U1 is a small nuclear RNA (snRNA) component of the spliceosome (involved in pre-mRNA splicing). Its 5' end forms complementary base pairs with the 5' splice junction, thus defining the 5' donor site of an intron. There are significant differences in sequence and secondary structure between metazoan and yeast U1 snRNAs, the latter being much longer (568 nucleotides as compared to 164 nucleotides in human). NCBI's taxonomy places the organism in Eukaryota, Metazoa, Chordata, Mammalia, Lagomorpha, Leporidae. The record is from Ensembl.